This 412-nucleotide long non-coding RNA is filed under the name Salmo salar (Atlantic salmon). RNAcentral describes it as "lncRNA (ENSSSAG00000091239.1)". Lineage: Eukaryota; Metazoa; Chordata; Actinopteri; Salmoniformes; Salmonidae. The record is from RNAcentral.
GGUACCCCCUGUAUAUACUAGGUGGUGUCAGAGGACUGGACCGGUACCCCCUGUAUAUACUAGGUGGUGUCAGAGGACUGGACCGGUACCCCCUGUAUUUAAACUAGGUGGUGUCAGAGGACUGGACCGGUACCCCCUGUAUAUACUAGGUGGUGUCAGAAGACUGGAUCGGUACCCCCUGUAUAUACUAGGUGGUGUCAGAGGACUGGACCGGUACCCCCUGUAUAUACUAGGUGGUGUCAGAGGACUGGACCGGUACCCCCUGUAUAUACUAGGUGGUGUCAGAGGACUGCACCGGUACCCCCUGUAUAUACUAGGUGGUGUCAGAGGACUGGACCGGUACCCCCUGUAUAUACUAGGUGGUGUCAGAGGACUGGACCGGUACCCCCUGUAUAUACUAGGUGGUGUCAGA